GGGGAUGUAGCUCAGUGGUAGAGCGCAUGCUUCGCAUGUAUGAGGUCCUUGGUCCAAUUCCCAGCUUCUCCG
RNAcentral lists this transfer RNA (72 nucleotides) under Xenopus laevis (African clawed frog). It matches the Rfam family "tRNA". From Rfam's summary of the family: Transfer RNA (tRNA) molecules are approximately 80 nucleotides in length. Their secondary structure includes four short double-helical elements and three loops (D, anti-codon, and T loops). The record is from Rfam by way of RNAcentral. Lineage: Eukaryota; Metazoa; Chordata; Amphibia; Anura; Pipidae.